RNAcentral lists this transfer RNA (26 nucleotides) under Limnonectes dabanus (Toumanoff's wart frog). RNAcentral's name for it is "partial tRNA-Arg". Lineage: Eukaryota; Metazoa; Chordata; Amphibia; Anura; Dicroglossidae. The record is from RNAcentral.
GAGACGCUAGUCCAACCAAGACAACU